Non-coding RNA from Solanum lycopersicum (tomato), 3206 nucleotides. The record is from RefSeq and is a predicted model, not a curated record. Lineage: Eukaryota; Viridiplantae; Streptophyta; Magnoliopsida; Solanales; Solanaceae.
CAUUGCUAUUCUAUAUAGUAGUAAUAUAAAAUUUAUAUAGUUGGUACUAUCUAGGGUUUUAACAAAAUCAGGCCUGUUUUUGUUUUAACAAAAUCAGGCCUGUUUCUGUUUCUGCUAUUUGCAUUGUGUAAGGUCUAUCAUGUUGGAUAUCAAAAGAAAUUGUAACGCUUCUCUACCGUGUAUCCCAAGUCUGUAUUGGCUGCAAAUCCGAUAAAUAUAUCUUAAGAGGGAAAAAUGGGAGCUUCCAUUCAUAGAUCAUCGAGAGACAGAGGCAUAGGAGGAAAAUCAAAUCUCCAUACUUAAAGUGUGAUGAAGUAUCAAAAACAGGAAAAACUGUGAUGCCUAUUGAAUUUCAGGUCAAUGACACUAAUUUAGCGGAAAUUGAAGGUGGAGAGGUUACUGUCCUGCAAUGGUCCAGAGUUUGUAAUGCAACUUAGCUUUCACGUAAAGGAUAGCAGUGAUUGAAAGUUUGUUCAGGAACAAAAUCCUCCUCCAAAGCACAUGCUCACCUGAGGUGUGUUUAUUUUCCGGUGGUGCAGGGUAAAGAGAGUAUUGAGGUGAUAUUGGAAAAGCUAGAGGCAGAUGGGUAUGGAAUUACCGAGAAUUUUGAAACUGUCCGUUGGUCGGGUCGUCUGCUUCCAGAUGCUCGUUGGGUAAGGUCAGAAUCUUUCUGUUAUUCAUAGUUUACAAAUUAUAAUUUACCAGUCUUGUAUUCCAUCACUACAGUCUGCCAAAUAAUACCUUCAUGAUAAUAUAUGUCCAAAAUUUGAAAGAAGGAACAUGUGUGCCUGUAAUUUACGUGUAUAUUGUGUUAUUCUCUGUUUUGUUUCUUUUUAUGGAACCAAAGCCAAGAAAAAGUGAUAGGGCUGAAGUCCUGAAGAGAUGCUGCUUUAGAGUAAAAUGCUUCAUAGGUAUAAAACCAUUUGUACAAAACAAGUGCUCUCUUAUUAAUGAAUAAGCAAUUGCUUCUUUUCUCCAAGCAUCACUGAGCAAUAUUCUGCUUGCAAAGACCGAUGCUGGUUUCAACCCAACACCGUCAAAGGUACAAGAUAGCUUUCCAAAAUUUCUGACGACUUGACUGAGGAUUUAAUUGCACGUCAGCACGUGUACAUACAGAAACGCAUUUCCGGAAUGCAAAAUGAGAAUAUUUAUAUGCAUGUCUAUAUAUCAAGGCAGUAACUAUUCCAUGUGCAGUUAUUCCAGGACCAUUGCAGCAUAUCCUGCUGCAUCCUGUAGAUUUUUGCAAAAAUCAAUUGGCAUGCACCAAGACACCAACACAAAUAAAGGGGCAUUAACUAAUCCGCGUGACUCGAGAAACUUGGGGAUGAUAUUGCAGAUAUGGCCUAUGCAUCAGACAAUGUGAUGCAAAUGUGGAAUCACUUAAUAUUAAUCAAUCAAAUAUUGAGCUUGAGAUGUCCAACUUGCGAGUCCAAUAAUUGAUGGAGCCAUAUCAUUGGAUGGUGGGAUCAUAAAGAGUCCUGACAUAUUUUCCCUAGGCAAAAGAUGAGAUCAUCAUAACCUCAAAUCUUAAGUUCUCAAGACAGAUUACAAGAUAUCGGUCAUCCAAAAGUCUCCCAAUUGAAGCUCCAUCCCCAUGAAGAUCAGAACAUUUAUUCGUAGGACCUUUCUUAUCAUAUGUCAGCAGUGCUUUAAGUCCAUCAUGCGUCUUGCAAACAAAUGCUAACAUGGUUUCUAGCCCAAGAUAUUCUGAGAGAGUCCUGGAUUUAAGAGAUUUAGAUACAAAUGUCAGUCAUAAUACAAUGAACUUCUAAAUUUCUUUUGGUUUGUAUGGUGAACUUCCAUUAUCUGCAUACUUCUUGGUAAAGAAAUGGCAAUAGGGUCAAACUCAACCCCUAAAAUAUAUCUCAUGGGAUGAUUGCCCAAGCUUGUAUAUAUAAACCACACAUUCAUUACCCAACUAAUUUAGGACUAUUUAGUACGACCUAAGAAAGAGAGAAAACGUUCAAAUACCAACUAACAUUCUACCCUAAUCUGCGACCUCCAAACCCUAAUUACUCUAAACAUACCUAUGACAAAUUCAAAUACCAGAUGAUAACAUUUUGUCAAAAGUCCUGCAGCCACAUAUUGUCAUCUUGAUUGGGACAGAGUGAACAAGUGCUAUAAUCUCUUGAACAUGGACUAGUAUAGAAAGUGGACUCAUACAAAGCUCAUUUCUUUUUUCUUCUUUAUCUAUUUUUUAAAAAAAAAAAACGCCAGCAAUUACUGGAUGCUAUGUGAAACUAACCCGUUGAGAUUAUCAUCGUCAACCACGCCAAGCAAAGCAACAAUUUCUAUCACGUCCUUCAUGUACGGAAUAUAUGUUGCCAGCUCAAAACAAUUCAAUGUUAAUAUUUCUUCAAUGGUCUCCAACUAAUUCUGCCAAUUAGAAGAUUCCUUAUUUUCAGAACCAUUUUCACUUGCUGAAUAAGUCUUGGUGAGAGAAACUACAAUACCCCACAAGCACAAGGCAUUAAAAUUGAGAAACAGUGAGAAGGCAUAUGACAAAAGCGAAAGAAAGUUUAACUGAAUGCUAUAGUCUACACGGAGUGCUUUUAAAUAGGCAAUACCCACAUUAAACCCAUGAACAAUAUAUUAAGCUCACUGAAACAAGUUGAUGGUUGAUAUUCUGCGCAAAGGUAAUCAGGAAAUCAAUAUUUACUUGAAAUGUGAAAGACGCCCAUUGAUAUGAAAAUCUUAAAAUGUUUGAUUGUUUACUUCCCAUAAAGACAUAAUAAAAACAUUAUAUUCUAGGUUACUAAAAGAACAAAAUAACUACAGUAACCUUUGAAAAUUGCAUGUGCAUUUUACAACACACCUAAUUAACUUUAAAAAAGGAAACAAUACCUUCUAUAUCCAAAAUUGAAUCAUCCAACCUUUUCUUCUGACCCCGUAAGAAUUUGAUAUUUUCUUCAUGGUGUUUAAUUUGAAGACCAAUUUCCUUCACUGCAUCCUCAAGUUUCUGCAGUAAUAGUCAUGAUAUUGAUCCAUUUACUUCACAAAAAUUAUCAUGUUCAUUAUCAUCUCAAAUAACAGAUGCUAUUAGAUAUAUCUAUACCUAUAAUCAAAACUACUAUGUAUAUUGCAUCCGUUAAUGACAAAAUAAAAUAAACUAGGCAGAUAUCGUUGAAAAUCAUAACCACCUUGGAUUCGCAGUAAAAGUCUCAGUAGUCCCAUUUUGCAUUGUCCUGAUUGCCAGCAAAAGUAAA